Molecule: ribosomal RNA, 253 nt
Filed under: uncultured bacterium
Lineage: Bacteria
Description: partial 16S ribosomal RNA
Rfam family: Bacterial small subunit ribosomal RNA
Source: RNAcentral
GACAGAGGUGCCGAGCGUUAGGCGGAAUCACUGGGCUUAAAGCGUGUGUAGGCGGCCUUCUAAGUCCCUUGUGAAAUCCCACGGCUUAACCGUGGAACUGCUUGGUAUACUGGUUGUCUUGGGCCAUCUAGGGGCUACUGGAACAAACGGUGGAGCGGUGAAAUGCGUAGAUAUCGUUUGGAACGCCAAUGGUGAAAACAAGUAGCUGGGGAUGUGCCGACGCUGAGACACGAAAGCCAGGGGAGCGAACGGG